ACUUCCGGUUGCUAACGGUUCCCAAACAGCCCCCGAAAACGCUACGUGAGCUGGGCCCUGGGCCAGAGGCAGAAAACGGACGGAAGAAAAGGUCUGGCCGGUUCAUCAAGCUCUCUCUCCAGAUCCUCCAGUACCGUCACUGCCUCCUCUCCAGUCUCUGGAUGGUGUGCACGCACCCAUGCUUGCAGGUCUUUAGGAAGAAUGCUCAGGAACUGUUCUAGCACCAGCAGGUCUAAAAUCUGCUCCUUGGUGUGGCAUUCUGGCCUCAGCCACUGACGGCAGAGCUCCCACAGCUGGGAGAUGGGUCUCACUCUGUCACCCAGACUGGAGUGCAGUGAGUGGUGCGAUCAUAGCUUACUGCAGCCUGAAACUCCUGGGCUCAAGUGAUCUUCUCGCCUCAGCCUCCUGAGUAGCUGGAGCUACAGGUGUGAGCUACCCAGCAUGGCUCAUUUGAGAUUUCUGAGUAGAGAAGUAACAUGAUUAAACUUGGGUAUUGAGAUUAUUAUUUUGGCUGCUAUGUUAACAGUAGACUUGAAUGUGAAGGGGUUGGGCAAGGGCAGAAGCAGGGAGACAGGUUGGAAAGUUGGAGUGGGAAGGGCCUUUUUAAGAAUAACACAAACCCCUAAAGACAUAAAACUGAAAAGGCCAUGGAGGAAAAGAUAAAUGAAACUGGCCUUGUAAAAUUGAAAUAUUUGAAUGAAAAAAGUAAAAAUAAAAUAUAAACUAAAAGUAAAAUAUGCCACACAUCUAAAAGACACAGCUGAUUUUCCUGAUAUACAAAGACCUUUUAUCUUACCAAAAAAUAAAAAUAUGAACAAGCCAAUAGAAAAAUAGACAAAGUACUUAACCUGCAUGCAUUUAUUGUCAGGCCUCUGACAAUAUGAUACUAAGCCAUCAUAGCCCCUGUGACCGCCACGUAUACAUCCAGAUGACCUGGAGCAACUGAAGAACCACAAAAGAUGGCAUUCCACCAUUGAGAUUUGUUCCUGCCCCACCCCAACUAAUCAAUCGACCUUGUGACAUUCCCCCUGCCCCCGACAGUGAGUCUCAUGAUCUCCCCACCCAGCACCUUGGCACCUUGUGACCCCCGCCCCUGCCCACAAGAGAUAACCACCUUUAACUGUAAUUUUCCACUACCUACCCAAAUCCUAUAAAACUGCCCCACCCCUAUCUCCCUUUGCUGACUCUCUUUUUGGACUCAGCCCACUUGCACCCAAGUGAAAUAAACAGCCUUGUUGCUCACACAAAGCCUGUUGGUGGACUCUCUUCACACAGACUCACUUGACAUUUAUAGAACACAAAAUUAAGAAUAGUGAAUAUGAAAAGGUUCACUAAUAAGAAUUUAAACAAAACAAGAAAGAUUUUUAAGAUUGCUAAAGACAAACGAUUUAUAAUAUUCAGUGUUAGGAGGUGUGUGGAUAUACAGGCAUACUUAGUUUUACAUUUUUAGAAGGUAAGACUUAUUUAGAAGGUAAGAAGUUGUCCAUACCCCUUGAUUCAACAACUUAGCUUCUUGGAAUUAUCCAUAUAGAAAUGCUUACAUAAAUGUUUGAACGUAUGUACAAAGAAGCACUAUUUAUUUAAAUUGGGAAACUUGAAUGCCUAACAUUUGGAAUUUAAAUUUUUAUAUGUCUAUUCAUUAAAAUACCACCCAGUUUUUAGAAACUAAGAGAUGCUAAAGGUAUAUUGAGUAAAAUAAAAAGUUACAAAAGAU
RNAcentral lists this long non-coding RNA (1714 nucleotides) under Homo sapiens (human). RNAcentral describes it as "non-protein coding ZSCAN16-AS1:13". Lineage: Eukaryota; Metazoa; Chordata; Mammalia; Primates; Hominidae. The record is from RNAcentral.